Molecule: transfer RNA, 70 nt
Filed under: Dipodomys ordii (Ord's kangaroo rat)
Lineage: Eukaryota; Metazoa; Chordata; Mammalia; Rodentia; Heteromyidae
Rfam family: tRNA
About the family: Transfer RNA (tRNA) molecules are approximately 80 nucleotides in length. Their secondary structure includes four short double-helical elements and three loops (D, anti-codon, and T loops).
Source: Rfam by way of RNAcentral
GGGAAAGUGGCUCAGUGGUAGAGCACUUGCCUUGCAUACAUGAGGCCCUGGGUUCAAUUCCUCAGCACCA